AGGAAGCAGGGGGAUGGAGAGGGAGCCUCUCCAGGCUCCGCAGGGAACAGUGAUGGCCUUGAAGCAGAAACAGGGUGGUUUAGAUGCAACUUUACAGAGCUCCACAGAAAUGGUGUAAAAGCAGCGUCCCUCUUUGGUUCAGCCUAGAUCCAGUUUUAAAAGCACCUUCCCUGUGGCAUCAACCUGUGUACAAAGCUACAUGACUGACUGCAGCAGAGCCCAUGCCCUCCUACCCUGCCAACAAAAGAUCCAGCGAGUGAGUGAGGAACUCGGAGACAUGAGAAAUGGGAGAAGCCCUUGCCUUCCAGGUGUUUGGAGGUCAAUAUCAUAGAUCUAGGGCAAAUGUGCUGGUCCAUGUUGUGUCUCUAAGUUCCAUGGUGAUUGGAUGGUAAUUAUAUGGAUGGAUUGAUCCACAACCCUGACAGUCAGGGGAAAAUGGAGAAAAUAUCAGCUUGACAGAAUCCAGGAUUCACCUGGGAAAUGGGCAUGACUUUGGCGGAUGAUCUUGAUUGCCUCAGUGGAAGUGGGAGGUCCUGCCCACUGUGGGCAGCAUCAUUCCCCAGGCAAGAGAAAGGGAGUUGAUCACCAGCAUGUACACAUUCCUUAUCUCUGUCACAGUGGAUGAAUGUGACCCCUGCCCUCAGGCUCUCGAGGUUUUGAAAUCCCUGCUGUGACCCCCUUCUUUCUUAAGGUGCUUUUGCCAGUUCAUUUUAUAGCAAGAGGAAAAGAAACUAUCACAUGGGGGAAGAAGAGCAGCAAGAGAGAAGCUAGAACUUUCUUGGCCGAAAAUGAUAAUGAAUUAAGUAAAAACCAAAGAAUUAAAAGGCCAGGUCUUCAAAGGGAUUGAGCUUCAGAAGACUCCUUGUGUUGCAUUCACCACAGGGUGUGGGUUAGACUGGGAAGCGGAACUGAGCAGCUAGUUAGCUUUCUCCACUUCAUGGGUUUCCUCCUGCAAGCUCCU
Long non-coding RNA from Apodemus sylvaticus (European woodmouse), 961 nucleotides. RefSeq lists it as uncharacterized. The transcript is spliced from 3 exons. Lineage: Eukaryota; Metazoa; Chordata; Mammalia; Rodentia; Muridae. The record is from RefSeq and is a predicted model, not a curated record.